UACAGAGGUGGCAAGCGUUGUUCGGAAUUACUGGGCGUAAAGGGCGCGUAGGCGGCUUAUCAAGUCAGGCGUGAAAUUCCCGGGCUCAACCUGGGGGCUGCGCUUGAUACUGAUUGGCUUGAAUGCGGGAGAGGAUAGUGGAAUUCCCAGUGUAGAGGUGAAAUUCGUAGAUAUUGGGAAGAACACCGGUGGCGAAGGCGGCUAUCUGGCCCGUAAUUGACGCUGAGGCGCGAAAGCGUGGGGAGCAAACAGG
This 253-nucleotide ribosomal RNA is filed under the name uncultured bacterium. RNAcentral's name for it is "partial 16S ribosomal RNA". It matches the Rfam family "Bacterial small subunit ribosomal RNA", at positions 524 to 776 of the family's 1533-position model. The record is from RNAcentral.